This 1371-nucleotide ribosomal RNA is filed under the name uncultured bacterium. RNAcentral describes it as "bacterial SSU rRNA". It matches the Rfam family "Bacterial small subunit ribosomal RNA", at positions 28 to 1381 of the family's 1533-position model. The record is from RNAcentral.
GAUGAACGCUGGCGGCGUGCCUAAUACAUGCAAGUCGAGCGAACGGACGAGAAGCUUGCUUCUCUGAUGUUAGCGGCGGACGGGUGAGUAACACGUGGAUAACCUACCUAUAAGACUGGGAUAACUUCGGGAAACCGGAGCUAAUACCGGAUAAUAUUUUGAACCGCAUGGUUCAAAAGUGAAAGACGGUCUUGCUGUCACUUAUAGAUGGAUCCGCGCUGCAUUAGCUAGUUGGUAAGGUAACGGCUUACCAAGGCAACGAUGCAUAGCCGACCUGAGAGGGUGAUCGGCCACACUGGAACUGAGACGCGGUCCAGACUCCUACGGGAGGCAGCAGUAGGGAAUCUUCCGCAAUGGGCGAAAGCCUGACGGAGCAACGCCGCGUGAGUGAUGAAGGUCUUCGGAUCGUAAAACUCUGUUAUUAGGGAAGAACAUAUGUGUAAGUAACUGUGCACAUCUUGACGGUACCUAAUCAGAAAGCCACGGCUAACUACGUGCCAGCAGCCGCGGUAAUACGUAGGUGGCAAGCGUUAUCCGGAAUUAUUGGGCGUAAAGCGCGCGUAGGCGGUUUUUUAGUCUGAUGUGAAAGCCCACGGCUCAACCGUGGAGGGUCAUUGGAAACUGGAAAACUUGAGUGCAGAAGAGGAAAGUGGAAUUCCAUGUGUAGCGGUGAAAUGCGCAGAGAUAUGGAGGAACACCAGUGGCGAAGGCGACUUUCUGGUCUGUAACUGACGCUGAUGUGCGAAAGCGUGGGGAUCAAACAGGAUUAGAUACCCUGGUAGUCCACGCCGUAAACGAUGAGUGCUAAGUGUUAGGGGGUUUCCGCCCCUUAGUGCUGCAGCUAACGCAUUAAGCACUCCGCCUGGGGAGUACGACCGCAAGGUUGAAACUCAAAGGAAUUGACGGGGACCCGCACAAGCGGUGGAGCAUGUGGUUUAAUUCGAAGCAACGCGAAGAACCUUACCAAAUCUUGACAUCCUUUGACAACUCUAGAGAUAGAGCUUUCCCCUUCGGGGGACAAAGUGACAGGUGGUGCAUGGUUGUCGUCAGCUCGUGUCGUGAGAUGUUGGGUUAAGUCCCGCAACGAGCGCAACCCUUAAGCUUAGUUGCCAUCAUUAAGUUGGGCACUCUAAGUUGACUGCCGGUGACAAACCGGAGGAAGGUGGGGAUGACGUCAAAUCAUCAUGCCCCUUAUGAUUUGGGCUACACACGUGCUACAAUGGACAAUACAAAGGGCAGCGAAACCGCGAGGUCAAGCAAAUCCCAUAAAGUUGUUCUCAGUUCGGAUUGUAGUCUGCAACUCGACUACAUGAAGCUGGAAUCGCUAGUAAUCGUAGAUCAGCAUGCUACGGUGAAUACGUUCCCGGGUCU